Molecule: long non-coding RNA, 439 nt
Organism: Notolabrus celidotus (New Zealand spotty)
Lineage: Eukaryota; Metazoa; Chordata; Actinopteri; Labriformes; Labridae
Exons: 2
Source: RefSeq, a predicted model, not a curated record
UCACUAAUAUGAGCAACACCAGAGGCGAACUGAUCACACAUCAGGUGAAAUCAAUCUGCGAAAAAGAGUUCCGGCAGAUUUUGUCUCUGCUUGUUGACACCAUGGACCAUAAGGUGAGGUAAAACAGUUAGUGUCUGUUUACAUCGAAAUAAUGUGGCUAAAUCCUUAGUUCUGGUUAGCAUGCUAAAUCGGCAGGCUACGGACAUUUUCGUGUUGGAUCCUGUCCAGCAAUCCUAGCAACGAGCGGAACAGGUGUGUCAACUGCAGGGCUCAGAAGAGAAGGAGAGCUGAAUGAAGACAGCUUCAUGUUAAAACGAAUGCAACAGGGAGAUAAGAAUCCAUCGCCAACAGCAUCCAACUGCUGUGGAAUCAGUGGGACUUUAAAAAUAAAACUGGGUGCAUAAAUCAUUCUAAAUCAAUAAAAUAAUCUUCAAAUCAA